RNAcentral lists this ribosomal RNA (836 nucleotides) under uncultured Acidobacteriota bacterium. Its description in RNAcentral is "bacterial SSU rRNA". It matches the Rfam family "Bacterial small subunit ribosomal RNA", at positions 28 to 897 of the family's 1533-position model. The record is from RNAcentral. Lineage: Bacteria; Pseudomonadati; Acidobacteriota.
AAUCAACGCUGGCGGCGCGCUUAACACAUGCAAGUCGAACGAGAAAGGGGAGCAAUCCCUGAGUACAGUGGCGUACGGGUGAGUAACACGUGGGUAAUCUGACUCUUAGUGUGGAAUAACCCUGGGAGACCGGGGCUAAUACCGCAUAAGCCCGAGAGGGGAAAGUCGCAAGACGCUGAGAGAGGAGCCCGCGGCCGAUUAGCUAGUUGGGAGGGUAAAAGCCUACCAAGGCAUAAAUCGGUAGCCGGCCUGAGAGGGCACACGGCCACACUGGCACUGAAACACGGGCCAGACUCCUACGGGAGGCAGCAGUGGGGAAUCUUGCACAAUGGGGGAAACCCUGAUGCAGCGACGCCGCGUGAGCGAUGAAGCCCUUCGGGGUGUAAAGCUCUUUCGGCAGGGAAGAUAAUGACGGUACCUGCAGAAGCAGCUGCGGCUAACUACGUGCCAGCAGCCGCGGUAAUACGUAGGCAGCGAGCGUUGUUCGGAGUUACUGGGCGUAAAGGGUGUGUAGGCGGUUGCUUAAGUUUGGUGUGAAAUCUCCCGGCUUAACUGGGAGGGUGCGCCGAAUACUGAGCGGCUAGAGUGCGGGAGAGGAGAGUGGAAUUCCUGGUGUAGCGGUGAAAUGCGUAGAUAUCAGGAGGAACACCGGUGGUGUAGACGGCUCUCUGGACCGUAACUGACGCUGAGACACGAAAGCGUGGGUAGCAAACAGGAUUAGAUACCCUGGUAGUCCACGCCCUAAACGAUGCAUAUUUGGUGUGGGUCAUUCAGUUGAUCCGUGCCGGAGCUAACGCGUUAAAUAUGCCGCCUGGGGAGUACAGUCGCAAGGCUGA